This is a non-coding RNA of Podarcis lilfordi (Lilford's wall lizard), 74 nucleotides long. The record is from the annotation of a GenBank genome assembly. Lineage: Eukaryota; Metazoa; Chordata; Lepidosauria; Squamata; Lacertidae.
UACUCUAUAGCUCAGUUGGUAGAGCAUGAGACUCUCCAUCUCAGGGUUGUGGGUUCAAGCCCCAUGUUGGGCAA